Hydra vulgaris (swiftwater hydra) is the source of this 437-nucleotide non-coding RNA. Lineage: Eukaryota; Metazoa; Cnidaria; Hydrozoa; Anthoathecata; Hydridae. The record is from RefSeq and is a predicted model, not a curated record.
AGAAAUAACGAGUAUGUUUUAAUGCUAGUUAUGAGCAAUCUAAAGUUUCAAAUAUAAAGGAAAUUGGUUUGGAUAGCAAACAUAAUAAAAACUCAUUGGUUUAUGAACAGAGAGAUAUUGAUGGUGAAAUAAAACUUUGUAAAUCUACCAGCACUGUAGACCACUUGACAUUCACAAUUGAAUCAGGAGUUUAAGAGUGAUAAAAGUAUCCAGGCAAUAAUUUUGGACAAUACAAGUGUUAAUACAGGACCAGUUGGAAAAUCUUUGACAAAUCCAAUUCAUUUAAAUUUAACUGUUGACUUCAUACAAGUUGAGACAGACGUUGAAUAUCCCCCUCUGUGUGUCAUUAAAGACCUCUCUGCUGACCAGAGAAUGCUACUGGAAUACAGUAUUGGAAUUUCUAGAGGGUUUUCAGACAAUAAGUAUCUGAAAAAAAA